CCCGGCAUCUUCCCACCUAGAGGUUGUAGACAUCACCCCUAACACAGAGGCAGAUCAGGCCUCUUCCCACCUGGAGGUUGUGGACAUCACCCCUAACACAGAGGCAGACCCGGCAUCUUCCCACCUGGAGGUUGUGGACAUCACCACUAACACAGAGGCAGACCCAGCAUUCUUCCCACCUGGAGGUUGAGGACAUCACCUCUAACACAGAGGCAGAUCAGGCUUCUUCCCACCUGGAUGUUGUGGACAUCACCAGUAACACAGAGGCAGACCCGGCUUCUUCCCACCUGAAUGUUGUGGACAUAACCCCUAAUACAGAGGCAGAGCCCAUCUCUUCCCUCUUGGAGGUUGUGGACGUCACACCUGAAGAAAGGACUCUCACGAUGGCCGUCUUCGCCACUCUGCCAGCUGACAUCCAAGCAGAGGAUGUUGCUGUGGUCAUCCCGGAUGUCACCCCACACGUCACCAAGGAUGUGACACUGGAUGUUCCAUGCAGAGCUAGGAAAGGGGCAGUCCGGCGAUUAUUUUGCAGGCUUUGGAGGGCAGUGUGCUGCUGCACCUGCCACAAGGAAGAGGAGGAACAAUAUUAAUUAUUCAUCAGACCUUCAGAAAUGGGAUUGAACCAUAGAGCAUUAAAUUAUUCACAUUAUAAUUGAACUCAAUUCUGCUUUUCUUCUGUUUACUACUUAAUUUCUUAACUUUUCUAUGAACUUUCACUUUGCAAGUGUGGAUUAGGUUGUGUAAAUAAGUGGGACACAUCCCAAUGUUGAUGCUUUGAAUAAUUUACUUUGUACAUUUAAAAAAAACAUGUCUUAUUUGACAACAAAAAUGGAGGGCGCUCAACCAACGUUGAUGUGAGGUGCAACCAAAUAUUUGAAUCAUCAUAGAAAAGGAAAAAGCCCAACUCUUGCUCACUAUAAAAAAUGCAUUGUUUUAUUCAAGCAAGGUUUAAAGAUUAACGUUUCGGCCUAGUCUUUGACGAUAUGCAAGUUCUGUUUGCCCAGUAAAAGGGUGACCCAGACUCACCCUGGUUCUUGAGGGUUGAAGACAGUGAAAAAUGAUCAUUAAGUAAAUGGGACUUUUCAAUUCUUGAAUACAAAUCUUUAAUGAACAAGAAUUUAAAUACAAUUGACUUGAGGAUCAGAGCAGGCAGGCUGACUGGCUAGCCCUGUGCCUCUACCUCUGUGCGGUUCAUCUCAACCAAGAGGUUGUGUGGGUUGUCUUUCUCUCUGUGGGUGUGAAUCACUAUGAGCUCUCCCUCUGCCUGCCAUUUGGCUGAUCAGAAGCCUUCUGCUCUUUCUUACUCACAUGAACAGGAGGAAUGGCCUCUGGGGUAACCUCCUCCUCUAUCUAAUGCCUCUUCCACCUCCUCUUUCUGACUGUGUUCGACUGAGGUCACUUGUUCUCUCUCACUGGGUGUUGGAUAGUUCCUCCUCCUCUGUGUCUUUGUGAUGGUGGAGGGAGUUAUCCUGUUCCGGCUCAUAGUGGUGUCCCCAUCCCUCCUAAGGAGGAGCCACUGAGACAUGUGAUGAGGCCAAGGAAGAUCACUCUGCAAGGACGGAAUAGGACACAUCACAACACUGCUGCUCAUUCAUAUUCAAACACACCUCAGAGUACGGACACAAACAUGGACCCCCCCACACACACACACACAAUGAACAAACCUGUACAUAUCAGAAUCAUACAUUCGACAGCCACCUCUUCCCCCACAUGUAUUGAUCCCCCACCUCAAACAUGUUGAGUCAAUUCCAGAUGCUGGAAUGGUGCUGGAAUGCAGGUGCAGUAGGGCCUAGUAUGUAAUGAUGUGAUACCAUGUGUAGCCCAUAUCCUGUGUUUGUGUUGAUGUUUUUUUAUUUUAUUUAAACAGGGAGUCACACUGAAAUUAAACAUCCAUUUUACCACA
This is a long non-coding RNA of Oncorhynchus tshawytscha (Chinook salmon), 1903 nucleotides long. RefSeq lists it as uncharacterized. The record is from RefSeq and is a predicted model, not a curated record. Lineage: Eukaryota; Metazoa; Chordata; Actinopteri; Salmoniformes; Salmonidae. The transcript is spliced from 2 exons.